Molecule: non-coding RNA, 222 nt
Filed under: Limosilactobacillus ingluviei
Lineage: Bacteria; Bacillati; Bacillota; Bacilli; Lactobacillales; Lactobacillaceae
Description: Lactobacillus ingluviei T-box sequence
Rfam family: T-box leader
About the family: Uncharged tRNA acts as the effector for transcription antitermination of genes in the T-box leader family. T-boxes are found upstream of many aminoacyl-tRNA synthetase genes and some amino acid biosynthetic genes usually in Gram-positive bacteria. The anticodon of a specific tRNA base pairs to a specifier sequence within the T-box motif, and the NCCA acceptor tail of the tRNA base pairs to a conserved bulge in the T-box antiterminator hairpin.
Source: RNAcentral
UAAGCGACGAAGAACAGAACCAGUAAAAGUUUGGCUGAUUUCAAGAGAGUCUCGGGUGGUGGGAAGAGAUAAUCGGCGGCUUUGAAACACAUCUGUGAGUUGACCACUGCAAAGGUGGUCCGGGGAAGCCCGUUACAGCGCAGAGUUUAGAAUUUGAACUCACUAAGGUUGUUUUCGUGAGGAAGCAACAAGAUGAGGUGGAACCGCGGCAACGCCCUCUGA